UGCUGAGGCAAGGAAAAACGAAGACGGUAACGGAAAUUGGAUGCAGAGUUUGGAAAAAUGUUCCCCGAACGGAAGACCUCUAUCUUCGGUAAUGGGAGGACAUAUUGUUCCAAAACUACUUAAAGUGGCUACACUUGAAAAUGAGCCCCAUGUCUUGCCAGCUGGUGAGGAGAGUGAUGAGGAAGAUGAGAGAACAGGGGAAGCCGUGAGAGCAGACUCAGAGGAAGAUGAGAGAACAGGGGAAGCCAUGAGAGCAGACUCAGAGGAAGAUGAGAGAACAGGGGAAGCCAUGAGAGCAGACUCAGAGGAAGAUGAGAGAACAGGGGAAGCCAUGAGAGGAGAGGAAGAUGAGAGAACAGGGAAAGCCAUGAGAGCAGAGGAAGAUGAAGAAGAGACUGUUGUGUCAAAUGAUCCUGGUUUGUGGCCAACAAAAAUUAGCAAUGCAGACAGAGAAAAAAUUGUUGUAAAAUAGCUUCUUCUAAAGAUAAAGAACAAGAAAUGCCACAUGAUUCAAAAGGUAAAGCCUUCCCCGAAUACCUCAAGAACACAAAUUCAGGAAAUUGCCGGGAAAAGAUUAGAGAGACUGGGUCAUUUACAGCCAAAGCACAAAUGCACUAUUUUGUAUUCCUUGUGUAUUAUUUGGUCAUGAGCUAAAAGAAACCUUGUAUGAGCGCACUAAGCAGUCAACAUGGUUAUAAAAUCAAAGACAUAACAUGGCGUCGAAUGUAUGAUAAAUUCCCUAACAACGAAAGCAGCAAAGCACCAGUGUUAAUUUCGUCGACGAAAACUAUGACGAAAAUUUUUCGGUAACGAACCUUUUUUCCAUGACUAAGACGAGACUAAGACGUGACAAACGAUCUUAAAAAAUAAAAACUAUGACUAAAUCUAUUUUAACUUUCGCUAACGAGACAAGACGAACAUGUUGGUGGUUGACGAAAUCACGAUACUUUUUUCCCCCUAAAUUUCCACGCAGCUGACUGAAAACAGACCGGCAAAGAACGGCGGAUAUUAACGUGUCAUAAUUGGGACCACUGUCCUGACCCUCUGUUGUUUGCAGUGCGGGAGGUCCCCCAGCCCUCCACGGGAUUUUCUCCUUUUGAACUUUUCGGUGGGUGGUCGACUCUCUACGCUACUACCUCCUGGGACGCUCUUUCACCCUCUGUUCGGAGAAGGGAGUGGUUCAGGGAACGGCGCCGGGGGAGGCAAUUGGCCUCAGCUGAAAUUAACCAGUGUGUGUAUUCUGCCUUGUUAAGUAGGAGAGAUCCGGCGACAGCGGGGGUGCGAGGCGAGGAGGCUGGAGCCCGCUGUACGUUAUUUUGCAUGAACAUUAAAAUAAAGUGCGUACAAUGGAACAGACCGCUGCAUUCUCGUUAUUCCGAGACCCCC
Gasterosteus aculeatus aculeatus (three-spined stickleback) is the source of this 1386-nucleotide long non-coding RNA. The record is from Ensembl. Lineage: Eukaryota; Metazoa; Chordata; Actinopteri; Perciformes; Gasterosteidae.